AUGCAGCCAUGGGCAUCAGCCUGGGCCCGAGCAGCAGGGUGCAGCGCCUCAGCUGUGCCACUGCCCUGGGACGCAGUUCGGUCCCGGCCCCAGCAUGUGCCUGGUGCAGGGGAGGUCUCUGGUCACCUUGUGUGUCCCCGAAGGGUCUUGGGCCCUGCCCUCCUCUCCCUGAGUCCCCCGAGACCAUGGAAACUACCUGGAAGCCACAGUCCCCUGGCACCUGUCCGUUGUCCCCACCCUGCUGUUCUGCCUCUCUCCCGACCCCUGAGGAGGACAGAUGUCCCACAGCUGACUUUUGAAAUAACGUGUGCCCGCCACAAGUCCACGAAGGUAAAGACAGCCUGAGCUACAGGGUGUGGCUGACCUGGAGGACCCAGUGCUAGUGCUCAGCGCUCAGCCUGUCCAGGUCCCAAGGACCCCUGGACAGUGGGACGACAGAGCCUGGGCCUGGCCUGCCAUGUUCCAAUCUCUGCUGCCUGCAAACACACUGAUCUGCUGCUCCCAGUGACAGACCAGGAAGGACACGCCCACCACACCACCAUACCUGUGCCGUACUCCGCAUGUCCCCUGCCCAGCAGGGCUGCUCUCACUCAGUGUCCAAGACUGCGGGCUCCACUGGCCUCUUGGUUUGGUGUUCAGAG
This 641-nucleotide long non-coding RNA is filed under the name Fukomys damarensis (Damara mole-rat). RNAcentral's name for it is "lncRNA (ENSFDAG00000027259.1)". Lineage: Eukaryota; Metazoa; Chordata; Mammalia; Rodentia; Bathyergidae. The record is from RNAcentral.